GUGGCUGACGAGUGGCGCACGGGUGCGUAACGCGUAUGCAAUCUACCUUUUACAGUGGGAUAGCCCAGAGAAAUUUGGAUUAAUACCGCAUAGUAUAUAGAAUUGGCAUCGAUUUUAUAUUAAACAUUUAUGGGUAAAAGAUGAGCAUGCGUUCUAUUAGCUAGAUGGAGUGGUAACGGCACCCCAUGGCGACGAUAGAUAGGGGCCCUGAGAGGGGGAUCCCCCACACUGGUACUGAGACACGGACCAGACUCCUACGGGAGGCAGCAGUGAGGAAUAUUGGACAAUGGGCGCAAGCCUGAUCCAGCCAUGCCGCGUGCAGGAAGACUGCCCUAUGGGUUGUAAACUGCUUUUAUACGGGAAGAAACACCCCCCCGUGAGGGGGCUUGACGGUACCGUAAGAAUAAGGAUCGGCUAACUCCGUGCCAGCAGCCGCGGUAAUACGGAGGAUCCAAGCGUUAUCCGGAAUCAUUGGGUUUAAAGGGUCCGUAGGUGGAUAAUUAAGUCAGAGGUGAAAUCCUGCAGCUCAACUGUAGUAUUGCCUUUGAUACUGGUUAUCUUGAAUUAUUAUGAAGUAGUUAGAAUAUGUAGUGUAGCGGUGAAAUGCAUAGAUAUUACAUAGAAUACCAAUUGCGAAGGCAGAUUACUAAUAAUAUAUUGACACUGAUGGACGAAAGCGUGGGGAGCGAACAGGAUUAGAUACCCUGGUAGUCCACGCCGUANACGAUGGAUACUAGCUGUUCGGAGCAAUCUGAGUGGCUAAGCGAAAGUGAUAAGUAUCCCACCUGGGGAGUACGUUC
This 800-nucleotide ribosomal RNA is filed under the name uncultured marine bacterium. RNAcentral describes it as "bacterial SSU rRNA". It matches the Rfam family "Bacterial small subunit ribosomal RNA", at positions 84 to 887 of the family's 1533-position model. The record is from RNAcentral.